This is a non-coding RNA of Carcharodon carcharias (great white shark), 73 nucleotides long. The record is from the annotation of a RefSeq genome assembly. Lineage: Eukaryota; Metazoa; Chordata; Chondrichthyes; Lamniformes; Lamnidae.
GCCGAAGUAGCUCAGUUCGGAGAGUGUUAGACUGAAGAUUUAAAGGUCCCUUGUUCAAUCCCAGGUUUCGGCA